UGGGGAGCGGCAGACGGGUGAGUAACGCGUGGGAACGUACCUUUUGCUACGGAAUAACUCAGGGAAACUUGUGCUAAUACCGUAUGUGCCCUUCGGGGGAAAGAUUUAUCGGCAAAGGAUCGGCCCGCGUUGGAUUAGCUAGUUGGUGAGGUAAAGGCUCACCAAGGCGACGAUCCAUAGCUGGUCUGAGAGGAUGAUCAGCCACACUGGGACUGAGACACGGCCCAGACUCCUACGGGAGGCAGCAGUGGGGAAUAUUGGACAAUGGGCGCAAGCCUGAUCCAGCCAUGCCGCGUGAGUGAUGAAGGCCCUAGGGUUGUAAAGCUCUUUCACCGGUGAAGAUAAUGACGGUAACCGGAGAAGAAGCCCCGGCUAACUUCGUGCCAGCAGCCGCGGUAAUACGAAGGGGGCUAGCGUUGUUCGGAUUUACUGGGCGUAAAGCGCACGUAGGCGGACUUUUAAGUCAGGGGUGAAAUCCCGGGGCUCAACCCCGGAACUGCCUUUGAUACUGGAAGUCUUGAGUAUGGUAGAGGUGAGUGGAAUUCCGAGU
This 550-nucleotide ribosomal RNA is filed under the name Brucella anthropi. Its description in RNAcentral is "bacterial SSU rRNA". It matches the Rfam family "Bacterial small subunit ribosomal RNA", at positions 89 to 674 of the family's 1533-position model. Lineage: Bacteria; Pseudomonadati; Pseudomonadota; Alphaproteobacteria; Hyphomicrobiales; Brucellaceae. The record is from RNAcentral.